This 258-nucleotide ribosomal RNA is filed under the name uncultured bacterium. Its description in RNAcentral is "partial 16S ribosomal RNA". It matches the Rfam family "Bacterial small subunit ribosomal RNA", at positions 96 to 354 of the family's 1533-position model. The record is from RNAcentral.
CGGUGGACGGGUGAGUAACGCGUGGACAACCUGCCCUAUGCAGGGGGAUAACAUCCGGAAACGGGUGCUAAUACCGCAUAAGCGCACAGUACCGCAUGGUACAGUGUGAAAAGCUGAGGCGGCAUAGGAUGGGUCCGCGUUGGAUUAGGCAGUUGGCGGGGUAACGGCCCACCAAACCGACGAUCCAUAGCCGGCCUGAGAGGGUGGACGGCCACAUUGGGACUGAGACACGGCCCAGACUCCUACGGAAGGCAGCAG